RNAcentral lists this ribosomal RNA (459 nucleotides) under uncultured bacterium. RNAcentral describes it as "partial 16S ribosomal RNA". It matches the Rfam family "Bacterial small subunit ribosomal RNA", at positions 338 to 795 of the family's 1533-position model. The record is from RNAcentral.
CCUACGGGUGGCAGCAGUGAGGAUUAUUGGUCAAUGGUCGGGAGACUGAACCAGCCAAGCCGCGUGAGGGAUGAAGGUACAGAGUAUCGUAAACCUCUUUUGUCAGGGAACAAAGGCGGGGACGCGUCCCUGGUUGAGUGUACCUGAAGAAAAAGCAUCGGCUAACUCCGUGCCAGCAGCCGCGGUAAUACGGAGGAUGCGAGCGUUAUCCGGAUUUAUUGGGUUUAAAGGGUGCGUAGGUGGUCUGUUAAGUAACCGGUAAAAGCUCGCGGCUCAACCCUGGCGCGCCGUUGAAACUGGCAGUCUCGAGUUGGAGAGAGGUAUGCGGAAUGCGCGGUGUAGCGGUGAAAUGCAUAGAUAUCGCGCAGAACUCCGAUUGCGAAGGCAGCAUGCCGGCUCCACACUGACGCUGAGGCACGAAAGCGUGGGUAUCGAACAGGAUUAGAUACCCCAGUAGUC